AUGGGAUGUGUCACUACUAUGACUUAUAGGAUUAAGGUCAACAAUGAUCUGACGGAGGUCAUUGUGCCUGAGAGAGGCUUAAGGCAGGGAUGCCCCCUAUCACCCUAUCUUUUCAUUCUCUGUGCGGAGGGCCUUUCUGCUCUGUUCCAAGAUGCCGAGAGAGAGGGUAGCCUUCAGGGGGUGCAGGUUUGUACGGGAGCCCCAAGGAUAAACCAUAUGUUCUUUGCGGACGAUUCUCUCAUCUUCAUGAAGGCAAACGAGGCUAGUGCAGGAAAGUUGAUGAGCAUUUUGGCCUUGUAUGAGGAUGCCUCGGGGCAGGUGAUUAAUAAAGACAAAUCGGUUGUCAUGUUCAGCAAGGGGACUUCUCAGGCGGUGAAGAGGAAGUUCAAGAAUCUCCUCCAGAUUAGUGACGAGGCCUUCAAUGAAAGGUAUCUUGGUUUGCCUAUUUACCUGGGCAAGUCCAAGAGCAAAGCAUUUGGCUAUUUGUUGGAGAAGGUGUGGAAGAAGAUCCAGGGAUGGAAGGAAAAUUUUAUUUCUAGGGCGGGAAAGGAAAUAUUGGUUAAGGCGGUGGCGCAGGCAAUCCCUAUUUUUGCCAUGUCCUGUUUUGAUCUCACUAAAACUCUCUGCGACGAUAUCAGCUCGAUGGUGUGCCGCUAUUGGUGGAACAAUCAGGAGGAGGAUCGACACCACUAG
RNAcentral lists this ribosomal RNA (693 nucleotides) under Triticum aestivum (bread wheat). Its description in RNAcentral is "partial small subunit ribosomal RNA". The record is from RNAcentral. Lineage: Eukaryota; Viridiplantae; Streptophyta; Magnoliopsida; Poales; Poaceae.